CGUAGGUGAACCUGCGGAAGGAUCAUUACCGUUGUCUGUGCUGCUGCCUUCUGGGCGCUGCGGCUCGAUACCAUACUGAAACUGGCCUCCUGGAUCCCUGCGGCAGGGUGCGCGUUGGCAGACGCCUGGAGACCCGUCCCGGGUCCUUCGCUCGCGGCGAGGUUUUACCCGUCUGUGGCUGGGCCUGCCUGUCGCGGGCAGCGCCUGGGUUCUUUAAGCCGGUACGUUUACCCGCCCGCCUCCCGCCCGGGAAGGUAGGGUGCGUUCAAAGAGACCCGGUCGUUCGCCACCGGGCCGCCGGCCCAACUCGGUCGUCUAACCCACUCACACGAACACGGAAACACUUUGACCACGGGCCUUCUCGCAAGGCCCGAUGCAUAAGAACGCUUUUUUUCUUGCAGUACGACCGUAGGCGUUGGAUCACUCGGCUCGUGCAUCGAUGA
RNAcentral lists this ribosomal RNA (443 nucleotides) under Pectinodonta beta. RNAcentral describes it as "eukaryotic LSU rRNA". The record is from RNAcentral. Lineage: Eukaryota; Metazoa; Mollusca; Gastropoda; Acmaeidae.